RNAcentral lists this ribosomal RNA (568 nucleotides) under cf. Trichoderma sp. 144/LC3. Its description in RNAcentral is "eukaryotic LSU rRNA". The stretch from base 157 to 310 matches the Rfam family "5.8S ribosomal RNA". The record is from RNAcentral. Lineage: Eukaryota; Fungi; Ascomycota; Sordariomycetes; Hypocreales; Hypocreaceae.
AACCAUACCAAACUGUUGCCUCGGCGGGGUCACGCCCCGGGUGCGUCGCAGCCCCGGAACCAGGCGCCCGCCGGAGGGACCAACCAAACUCUUUUCUGUAGUCCCCUCGCGGACGUUAUUUCUUACAGCUCUGAGCAAAAAUUCAAAAUGAAUCAAAACUUUCAACAACGGAUCUCUUGGUUCUGGCAUCGAUGAAGAACGCAGCGAAAUGCGAUAAGUAAUGUGAAUUGCAGAAUUCAGUGAAUCAUCGAAUCUUUGAACGCACAUUGCGCCCGCCAGUAUUCUGGCGGGCAUGCCUGUCCGAGCGUCAUUUCAACCCUCGAACCCCUCCGGGGGGUCGGCGUUGGGGAUCGGGAACCCCUAAGACGGGAUCCCGGCCCCGAAAUACAGUGGCGGUCUCGCCGCAGCCUCUCCUGCGCAGUAGUUUGCACAACUCGCACCGGGAGCGCGGCGCGUCCACGUCCGUAAAACACCCAACUUCUGAAAUGUUGACCUCGGAUCAGGUAGGAAUACCCGCUGAACUUAAGCAUAUCAAUAAAGCGGAGGACUCUCNUNUUCCCCCUCCUGU